This is a long non-coding RNA of Xiphophorus hellerii (green swordtail), 285 nucleotides long. RefSeq lists it as uncharacterized. The transcript is spliced from 3 exons. NCBI's taxonomy places the organism in Eukaryota, Metazoa, Chordata, Actinopteri, Cyprinodontiformes, Poeciliidae. The record is from RefSeq and is a predicted model, not a curated record.
GGAGACUCUGAUCUGAAGCCUCUGGUUGAGAUCCUGGAGAGUUCAGUCAGUAAAGUGAAGAAUCUGAGAUUGAUGGACUGCAGUUUGUCAGAGACCAGCUGGACUUCUCUGUUCUCAGCUCUGAAGUCCAACCCGACCCAUCUGACAAAACUGGACCUGUACAGAACCAACCUGGGAGAUUCUGGAGUGAAGGAGCUCUGUGGUUUUCUACAGACUGAAGGCUGCAGACUGGAGACAUUGUUAUUGAGGGGCUGCAGUUUGUCAAAGAUCAGCUGUGAUUAUUUG